GCACACACACACACACACACACACCCCCCAACACACACUCCCUGUCCCCUUUCUCCACCCUGCAAGCUAGUUGCAUUUAGCUCACAGAGCCUGGGCUGCGACUUGAAAGAGUUUAGGCAGCAACAGAGUGACCCUGGGGGUGCUCUUGACCGACAGCCGCACCCCCGGCGUCUAGGACCUCCGAGCAGGGAUGCAUCUGGAGGUCUAGGGAAGCACUUCCACCCCCUCCUCUCCUCAACCCUGGCAGGAUGGCUACUGCUGCUUCAAGACAGUGACGUUUCUCUCCGGUCAGCUGUCAGGAGCGCUGGUGAGCUUCCUACUGUGCCACAAGGUGCGGGUGCUGGAGACACAGCUGAGCCUGGAAAUGAGAGUGGGCAUCGCCGUGGUCAUCAUGACUCCUCUGCGGCGUGGUCACCAUGUUGGUUCACUGUGUUGGGCUCUUAUUGACUGGUCUCCUGCUAGGCCUGACCUUGGGUGCCGGAGCCCUGCUGGCUUCUGAGCCUAUCUACCAACCACCUUCAGCCUGGGUGCCAGCUGGGGGCUGGUGGGGCUGGCGCUGCUGGGAGCCCUGCUCACACUUCGGUGGCCACGUCCAUUCACAGUGCUGGGCACAACCCUACUGGGUUCUGCAGUGCUUGUGGCCUGUGUUGACUACUUCCUGGAGGGGCUGGCACUGGGGAGUUGGCUGGGCCAACGCCUGCAGACACUUCCAGCCUUGCCUUCUCUCUGCUGAUAUAGCUGGGUCUUACUGGGGAUCUGGCCAGCCUUGGGGGCCCUUGGAGCCCUGGCCCAGUGGAAGCUCGUGCCUGAGGAACAUGGAGGCCACGCUAAUGAGUUACUUCCAGAGUCUUCAAGAGUGCCAACUGGGACCAGGACCCCAGACCACAGCCCCCCACACCGUCCUGGACCUGGAUUCUGACUGUGGUUCCACUGUACCCCUCACCUUAAUCUCUGGUUCUAACCAGACCUGAGCCUAGACUUCCACUUUUUCCCUUACCCCUGUGAGGGCCUGGGAACACUAGGUGGGCAGGGUUUGAGCCCACAGGACCUGCACACAAACUUCCCCACCUCUUGGACUUGGGGACAGGAUCUGUGCCUCAACCCAGACCAGCUUUGUAGGGAUAUGUUCCAAGAACAGAGAAGAGUCUUAUGGGGAAGGGGGAGGAAGGGAAGUAUGAAUAUUUACCUCUGACCAAUAAUAGAGGUGCCCUGGUCCCCAAAGAAAUUGACUCCCGAAUUCCCUCCAAGCCUUACCCAUAUAGCUUUUGUUUGUUUGUUUUGAGACAAGGUCUUGUUCUGUCCAGUGCCGUGGCAUGACCACAGCUCAUGACAACUUUGAUUUCCCCGGCCCAAGCGAGCCUCUCAUUCAGCCUCCCGAGUGGCUGGGACCACAGACGCCACACACAGCUAAUUUUUAUUUAUUCGUUUUUAUUUUUUUGCAGAGACAGGGUCUCCCAGUGUUGCCCAAGCUGGUCUUGAACUCCUGGGCUCAAGUGAUCCUCCUGCUUCAGCCUCCCAAAGUGCUAGGAUUAUAGCCACCGCACCUCGUCUUGAAAUAGCCUUUUAAAUAUUCACCUCAGCUUGCCUCACAGUGGUAAAAAUAAGCAUUUUUUUGUUUUGUAGGAUCAGGGAGCUUCCAAGGCAUUUGAUACCUUUUUGAUGGGAAGAAGGGCUCUGAGGAGCUCCAAGAUACCCCAACCUCCAGGCCCUUCAUUAGGGGGUAGUUGGGUUUCUGUUUGGCCUUUCCCCCUGGGCCCCAUAGGCUUAAACUACCCCCACCCCCACCUCCGCCUCCUACCUCAGCUGGGAGCACUGUCUUCCAUGGGGCUUCCACUUCUCUCCUCAACCUGGGGAAGACCACAGGGCAGUGCCUGCCUCAGGACCUGCCUUCCCCAAAAGCUGGCUUCUUGCUCCAAGGAGAGAGCAUUGGCCCACCUGCCAGAGUCUUGCCUUUUGCCCAAAGGAGCCUGGUCUUCAGGGCUGCAUAGGAUGCAAGUGCCUUCUCUGCUUCUCACCGUGGGUGGCACUAAUUUCCUCCUUAACCAGAACUUUGUUCCAGCCACUGACCCAUUCUAACUCUUCCCCCUCUGACUCUCCUGCGCAAGGUCUGUUCCUGGUUUCCCAGAUGCAUAAAGGAAGACAUAUCCCUCCCCUGGGCAGCAAGGCUACAAUGGGAGGGAGGGAGAACAUGGGAGCAUGUGAAUAAAAUGGCAUUAAAUACUGAA
This 2225-nucleotide small RNA is filed under the name Pan troglodytes (chimpanzee). Its description in RNAcentral is "processed transcript". Lineage: Eukaryota; Metazoa; Chordata; Mammalia; Primates; Hominidae. The record is from RNAcentral.